AUGAACGAGAAGGCCUCCGUCUCCAAGGAGCUCAACGCCAGGCACAAGAAGAUAUUGGAAGGCCUUCUGCGGUUGCCGGAGAACAGAGAAUGUGCAGACUGCAAGUCAAAGGGUCCUCGAUGGGCAAGUGUCAAUCUUGGGAUCUUCGUAUGCAUGCAGUGUUCUGGAAUUCAUAGAAGCCUUGGGGUACACAUAUCAAAGGUAAGGUCUGCUACUCUGGAUACAUGGUUGCCAGAGCAAGUUGCAUUUAUUCAAUCAAUGGGAAAUGAAAAGGCAAAUGGCUAUUGGGAAGCAGAGCUGCCCCCUAAUUAUGACAGGGUUGGGAUAGAGAACUUCAUCCGUGCAAAAUACGAGGACAAGAGGUGGAUACCGAGGAAUGGAACAUCAAAACUGCCCUCUAGUGCUCGAGAUGAGAAGAGCUCUGGAUCUCAGGCCAGUCAUGCUAACAGGGGUGGGCACGCUCAAAAACCUUCAUUUGAGCAACACCGUGUUUCACCAGCUGCUACGAAAAGAACUGUUCCAGUGGCUUCUAGGAUGCACACGCAGGCAUCACCUCAGCCAAAAGCAGAACUACCAGUUCCCAAGGUUGCUUCGCCUCCUCAGCCAGCAAAAUCUCCUGCUAAAGUUGAUGUGACACCCCCAAAAGUUCAUCAGCCAUCGGUUGCACCCCCUCCUAAAGUUGACUAUGCCAUUGACCUCUUUAACAUGUUAUCGAUGGACGGAACAACUGAGAAAGAACCAGUGUCAUCUUCCAACGACGAUAAUGCUUGGGAUGGCUUCCAGUCUGCAGAACCAGCACCUAACUCCGAGAAAAAGGAUACUGCUAAGCCAGUAGAAAGUAAGGCCCAGUCUACAACGGGAAUCGAAGACUUAUUUAAAGACUCGCCAGCUGUGGCAGCGUCUUCAGCUCCAGUUGCUUCCAAAUCAAACCCACAGACAGAUAUCAUGAGUCUGUUUGAGAAGUCGAAUAUGGUAUCACCAUUUGCUAUCCAUCAGCAGCAGCUUGCUUUUAUGACCCAGCAACAAGCUUUACUGAUGGCUGCUCUUAAAUCUGGAAAUGCACCCCAAAUGGUUCCGGGGAAUGCACCCCAAAUGGUUCCCGGGAAUGCCAGUGUGCUAAAUGCUAAUGGUUCUAAUGCCCCUAAUGGAAGCUUGCCUUCCCAUAGCUGGCCUAAUCUAGGUUAUCAGAACCCUGCAUCUAUUCCAGCAGCAGCACCACAAAAUGGUGUCGCCAAGGCUGGGAACAACAAUCAGGACUUCUUUUCUGGGAACUUCGGUUUUGGUUCGCCCGGCAUGCCAGCAAAUGGGUCCACAACCGCAGGUGCUAACAAGAGCGCAUCCACCCCUACCUCUUCUACCCUGCCCUCUCAAUCAGGCAAAGAGUACGAUUUUUCCUCAUUAACGCAAGGAAUGUUCUCGAAGCGAUGA
RNAcentral lists this ribosomal RNA (1428 nucleotides) under Triticum aestivum (bread wheat). RNAcentral describes it as "partial small subunit ribosomal RNA". Lineage: Eukaryota; Viridiplantae; Streptophyta; Magnoliopsida; Poales; Poaceae. The record is from RNAcentral.